Molecule: RNase P RNA, 368 nt
Filed under: bovine gut metagenome
Description: Bacterial RNase P class A
Rfam family: Bacterial RNase P class A
About the family: Ribonuclease P (RNase P) is a ubiquitous endoribonuclease, found in archaea, bacteria and eukarya as well as chloroplasts and mitochondria. Its best characterised activity is the generation of mature 5'-ends of tRNAs by cleaving the 5'-leader elements of precursor-tRNAs.
Source: RNAcentral
GGCUUGUCGCUGCUGAAAAGGAGAGGAAAGUCCGGGCAACACAGGGCAUCCCGCUUCCUAACAGAAAGAGGUCCGUGAGGGUCUGUAGGUGCAGAAGAAAAUAACCGCCUGUGCCCAUGCGUAGUGAAGAACUGAUGCAAAGGAACAGGUAAGGGUGAGAAGGUGGGGUAAGAGCCUACCAGGCCGGCAGUGAUGUCGGUGCUGUGCACUCCGGGAGUUGAAAGUUCAUGUAAACCGGCGAACACAAAGGGAGGGCGGCCCGUCCGAGCCGGAGGGUAGAACGAUAGAAGACAGCGGUGACGCUGCCUGUAGAUAAAUGACAAGCAUCCCCGAAAGGGGAUUACAGAACCCGGCUUACAGGUUCACUG